CCUACGGGAGGCAGCAGUGGGGAAUAUUGCACAAUGGGGGAAACCCUGAUGCCGCGAUGCCGCGUGUGUGAAGAAGUAUUUCGGUAUGUAAAGCUCUAUCAGCAGGGAAGAAGAAAGAAGGUACCUGACUAAGAAGCCCCGGCUAACUACGUGCCAGCAGCCGCGGUAAUACGUAGGGGGCAAGCGUUAUCCGGAUUUACUGGGUGUAAAGGGAGCGUAGACGGCUGUGUAAGUCAGAAGUGAAAGCCCAGGGCUCAACCCUGGGACUGCGUUGGAUACUGGGGAGCUAGAGUGCUGGAGAGGUGGGUGGAAUUCCUGGUGUAGCGGGGAAAUGCGUAGAGAUUAGGAGGAACACCAGUGGCGAAGGCGGCUUACUGGACGGUAACUGACGUUGAGGCUCGAAAGCGUGGGGAGCAAACAGGAUUAGAUACCCCAGUAGUC
This 441-nucleotide ribosomal RNA is filed under the name uncultured bacterium. Its description in RNAcentral is "partial 16S ribosomal RNA". It matches the Rfam family "Bacterial small subunit ribosomal RNA", at positions 338 to 795 of the family's 1533-position model. The record is from RNAcentral.